ACCUCAAGUCAUGUGAGAGUACCCGCUGAACUUAAGCAUAUCAAUAAGCGGAGGAAAAGAAACUAACAAGGAUUCCCCUAGUAACGGCGAGUGAAGCGGGAAGAGCACAAAAUUUAAAUCUACCUGGUUUUCAGGUCGAGUUGUAAUUUGAAGAAACGUUUUUUACGUUCCGGGUUGGAUUAAAUCCUUUGGGAUAAGGUAUCAUGGAGGGUGAGAAUCCCGUGUAUACCAACCACUGGAAUGUUAUUAAUACGAUUUCUAAGAGUCGAGUUGUUUGGGAAUGCAGCUCUAAAUGGGUGGUAAAUUUCACCUAAUGCUAAAUAUAAGCGAGAGACCGAUAGUGAACAAGUACCGUGAGGGAAAGAUGAAAAGAACUUUGAAAAGAGAGUUAAAUAGUACGUGAAAUUGUUGAAAGGGAAACGGUUGAAGUCAGUCAUACCGGUGGGAAUCAACUUAGGGGAAACUCUAAGUGCACUUCUUCGCUUGGUAGGUUAGCGUCGAUUUUGGAUGUCAUAAAAUGACUGGGGGAAGGUAGCUCCUUUUAGGAGUGUUAAGCCCUUAGUAGAUGUGAUGUCUGAGAUCGAGGAUUGCAACGGAUACCUUUUAGGUUAACCGCCUGGUCUCUAAUACGAACUUAGGUUACGGACAGCAUGCUGACUGUGAUCUAAUCUUCGGUUAAAAGAUUAGAGUGAGUGUAAAUUCGUUAAGGACGCUGACGUAAUGGCUUUAAACGACCCGUCUUGAAACACGGACCA
This 755-nucleotide ribosomal RNA is filed under the name Cetraspora pellucida. RNAcentral's name for it is "eukaryotic LSU rRNA". It matches the Rfam family "Eukaryotic large subunit ribosomal RNA", at positions 1 to 668 of the family's 3401-position model. Lineage: Eukaryota; Fungi; Glomeromycota; Glomeromycetes; Diversisporales; Gigasporaceae. The record is from RNAcentral.